Small nucleolar RNA from Echinops telfairi (small Madagascar hedgehog), 75 nucleotides. Lineage: Eukaryota; Metazoa; Chordata; Mammalia; Afrosoricida; Tenrecidae. The record is from Ensembl.
UGGACUCAUGAUGACCACUGGUGGCGUCUGAACCAUGGACUGUGAAUGGUCCACGUGUGGAACUCUGAGGCCCAA